UAGUCCACACCGUAAACGCUGUCUACUAGCUGUUUGUGAGUUUAACUCGUGAGUAGCGAAGCUAACGCGCUAAGUAGACCGCCUGGGGAGUACGGUCGCAAGAUUAAAACUCAAAUGAAUUGACGGGGGCCCGCACAAGCGGUGGAGCAUGUGGUUUAAUUCGAUGCAACGCGAAGAACCUUACCUACACUUGACAUUCAGAGAACUUACUAGAGAUAGUUUGGUGCCUUUCGGGAGCUCUGGGACAGGUGCUGCAUGGCUGUCGUCAGCUCGUGUCGUGAGAUGUUGGGUUAAGUCCGGCAACGAGCGCAACCCACAUCCCUAGUUGCCAGCAGGUUAUGCUGGGCACUCUAUGGAAACUGCCCGUGAUAAGCGGGGAGGAAGGUGUGGGAUGACGUCAAGUCUUCAUGGGCCCUUACGGGGUUGGGGCUACACACGUGCUACAAUGGCAUCUACAGUGGGGUUAAUCCCCAAAAGNUAGUCUCAGUUCGGGAUUGGGGGUCUGGCAAC
Molecule: ribosomal RNA, 510 nt
Filed under: uncultured bacterium
Lineage: Bacteria
Description: bacterial SSU rRNA
Rfam family: Bacterial small subunit ribosomal RNA
Source: RNAcentral